GUCGAUAUCCUCAAAGUCCCAAACCCCAAAAUCGCCUCUAACAUCUCCUUAGCCCCAACUCCGACCAAAAUUCUCCACCGUCUUUCAGCCAUAAAACUUCUACCAAACCACCAUGUAAAAGACCACCUUCUUCCUCUAUUAAACCAGCAUCGAUUGCUUGAAGCAAACCCAUCUCUCAAUCUCUGUCAGAAAAAACGAAAUUGUGCAGAAACCUUUUUGGCGAUAUCCGACUGCUCGAAGGAUAAAUUGCAGAAAUUCUUUUGCAUCUGAAACUCCAAGGAAAGAAAGAAACUAAUAUCAUUCUAAGACUUAGGAUUUGAGCGGAGGAAAGCUGAUCAUGAAUCAGGAAGGACGCUCAAGUAAAAAUAAAAAAUUAACAAAAUGCAUUGCAGCUGGAUCACUUGCAUUUUUGCGAAACCUAGAGGUUUCGUCAUUAAAAACAAACAGAGUUAUUAUAGCUCCAAGGUUACUGCCUCUGCAUUCUACUUCUACACCAGUACAAACAGUACAUGAGCAAGUGCAACAAAUGCCACUGAACUCUACACCUCUUGCAUCACAAGCAGUGCAUGAACAAUUGCAGCAUUCUACUUCUAUAGGUGGAUCACUACCUCUGCAUUCUAGCAAAAACUUUUGCUAGAAUAUGCGAUGUUUGAUAUAUUUAUCUUAUUAUUGUUUUAAAUAUGAACUUGCUAACUUUAAUUUGAACUAUUUUAUACCACUUUUUAUGUAACCAGAGAAAAAAGAAACAAACUUCUGAACCUCUAUCAAGUAAGGACAUCUUUGUGGCUACAAGAAAAAGAAAGUCUGGGCGAGUAUACAAGGCCUCGUAUACGGAUACUCUUAAUAAAAUUGUACGAGUUACAAAUUUAAAGUUUAAUGAUAUUAUUUGUUUGUUCUUAGUUAGUGACUCAAUUUUAUAUACUUUCUAAUUUAAAAUUGACUCUAUCUGGUCUUGUAUGCUAAAAUGGAAAGAAUACAAUCAAUACAAGAAAGUGAAGAUGGCAGUCAAUCAGUUGACGCGUUUGCAUCAAUUAUGGGACCUGAGCAACCAGGUCGCCUAAGACUGUAAUGACGUGGGGGUUACCAAAACGGCCUUAAAAAGAAAAGUGGGAGAUUUUGGACCAUCUUCAAGUUCUACUGAGGAGAUGAUGCAGCAAAAAUUGGAGGAAAUGGAAGAAAGGAUGCAACAAAGAAUGCUGGAAAUGUUCAAAGCACAAAAAGAUGCUAUGGAACUAGAAGUUGCAAUUAACAUCAUUUCACAACUUAAGCGUCUGAAUCCAGGAAUACGUGUUGAUCCUAACAUGCUAGCUUUCAAUGCUCGUUCACCUGGAAAAGCUUCCCUUCCUCUGCACAACAAGCUGCUAUGUAACUAAUCAAUCGUCUAUCUACUGGGAUUAACAAUCAAGGUGGAGCAACUGAAUAAAGGGAAGAUGGAGAUAGUGAAGAUCUAGACCUUACUUAAGAAGAACUUUGAAUUGUUGUCGAUAUUCUAGGACUCUUUUGUUAUCAACAUUUGAAACUUUAACUUUUGAAGUGUUGAACUGUAAAACUUAUGUGAUUGGGUUAAAACAUUUUGCUAUUAUGGUUAUUCUUAGCUUAUUGGAC
Long non-coding RNA from Nicotiana attenuata, 1605 nucleotides. RefSeq lists it as uncharacterized. Lineage: Eukaryota; Viridiplantae; Streptophyta; Magnoliopsida; Solanales; Solanaceae. The record is from RefSeq and is a predicted model, not a curated record. The transcript has 3 exons.